GAUAAGAACGCGGAAGUAUUUCAUUCUUUGUCGCAGUGUUGAAAUGUUAACCAUUUUUAAGACAGAUUAGAAGAUACGCAAAUAUAGAAGAGAUAGCAUAUACUUCAUUUCAAAACGAAGUUGUUGGCAUCUAGGUGGCGAUAUUUGUGAUACCGUUCUGUUUAUUCUCCAAUUAAUCGUGACUGGCAGACUGCUUGCAUUCAUAUUUAGUAGAAGUUUCUAAAAUGGGAAACAGAGGGAGCAAUAGUUCUUCUAAGAUUACAGAAGUCGUUCAAGCUGCUUUUCCUAGUAGCACGUCUGAUAACCAGAGUAAUACCUAUCAUUCUAAACAUGAGUCUUCAGAUGAUUCGAAAAAAGAAGUUCAUGUGGUACAUACAUCAUAUUCACCUGUCAAAAAAAUUGAGUUGCCAGAAAGUCCACCUCCACGACCUGCAACUCCACCACUGGAUCCAAUCGGUUUAAAACCAAAAUAAUAAGGUCGUUCCACCAAACGCUAAACUCUUUUAAAUUUCAUUUUUGUCAUACUUGUGUGUUUAUAUUUGCAAAUGGAUAACACUUGUAUGUUUGCACAUGGAUAACACUAUCUUCAAUAUAUUCAUAUGGUUGUUAAUUAGCCAAAAUAUUUUCUAAGAUAACAUAAUUAUUAUCUUGAGAGAUAUCAUUGUGAUUUCUUUACGAGUGUUUUGCAAUAAGUUCGAAAUACAAAGUUAUGGCAUAACGUUAUGUCGGGAUUAAUGAAUGGGUGAUUCAAGUAUUUUAGUAUUACUUGUAUUUUCUUCUUUUUUUCUCUUUUAAAUAUCUACCAUUAAAAAAUUCGUUAGGAUCGAAAUAAUAAAUAUUAACCUAUGUUUUUAAGUGAUUCAAAUAAAGUCUAGCCGUAAUAUGUCUUUUGUUUUAUAAUAAACAAAUCUUGAUUAUCGUUUAUAUUAUAAAUGCCUUGUAUGCGUCACAUUCGUCAUGUACUUUCGUUUUCGAUACAAGACAAUUUGUCAAAUACUAAAAUGUAUGUAUGUAUGUAUGUAUGUAUGUAUGUAUGUAUGUAUGUAUGUAUGUUGGAAGUGAGUAAUUUAUCAUUAAAUGUCCGUCAUUGUAUUGUGUAAUGCAUUGUAUUGCUCAGAAUGUUGUAGUUAUAUUUUGUGUCAGGUCAAGGGCUCAUUAGCCUAAACCAGACUGUUGUUGUUUAUAUGUGGAUUUUAAAAUAAAGAAUUAUUUUCUUCUU
Ruditapes philippinarum (Manila clam) is the source of this 1219-nucleotide long non-coding RNA. RefSeq lists it as uncharacterized. The record is from RefSeq and is a predicted model, not a curated record. The transcript is spliced from 3 exons. Lineage: Eukaryota; Metazoa; Mollusca; Bivalvia; Venerida; Veneridae.